GGGGCACAUACACUAGGAGUGGCAAGAUGCUCAUCAUUCAAGCAUAGAUUGAGUAACUUUGACUCAACCCAUGAUGUGGAUCCAACUUUGGAUGCCCAAUUUGCCAAGACUCUAUCAAAAAGAUGCGCUAAUAGUGACAAGUCUGAGCAGGCCUUUGACAACACAAAAGAUAGUUUUGACAAUGACUACUAUUAUGGUUUACAAAGAAACACUGGUGUCCUCUUCUCAGAUCAAACUCUUUACAACCACCCUAGAACUAGAGGCAUUGUAAAUGCUUAUGCCUUUAAUCAAGCUAUGUUCUUCCUUGAUUUUCAACAAGCCAUGAUUAAAAUGGGGUUACUUGAUGUCAAAGAAGGCUCCAAGGGUGAAGUGCGAGCCAACUG
This 383-nucleotide unclassified non-coding RNA is filed under the name Hevea brasiliensis (rubber tree). Lineage: Eukaryota; Viridiplantae; Streptophyta; Magnoliopsida; Malpighiales; Euphorbiaceae. The record is from RNAcentral.